Bactrocera oleae (olive fruit fly) is the source of this 9300-nucleotide non-coding RNA. The record is from RefSeq and is a predicted model, not a curated record. NCBI's taxonomy places the organism in Eukaryota, Metazoa, Arthropoda, Insecta, Diptera, Tephritidae.
ACCUUAUAUUCACCACACUACAGCAUAAUUGCUGCUAGCAACAUUGAGCAACAUGCUGCGGCAACAUACUUCACUUACUACACUCUACAGCUGCAAAAUACACCACACACCUUGAGCGCUCAAUACACUACCUUUCUCCAGCAUUGCGCUCUCAUCGAACACUCUCUCUUUCUCUCUCACCUGCCGGUAAACUUCAACUUCACUUUCGCUCAACAACAUUCACUAAUCAAACCAGAUCAGUUUCUGAUGCUUGACUGCCUAGUCACAGGCACACUGCACAUAUGUAUGUAUAUGUGUGUGACAAUGCUUCCGCUUGCCUGCUUGUCUGCCGGUUCGACAGUGAUCGAAGACGGCAGCAGACAAUGUUGCUUCGCUCGAGUUGCACGGGCUAUAUCGCUCGCCGCAAAUGCCUUACCGCCAACACCACCACCACUUCAAUGGCGAUCGGCCAACUAACUCUGUUCUGCCUGUGCCGGUGCUGCAUCAUUCCGUUGUUGCAUUUCCACUUGUACACGUGUGGCAUGCGGCAUUUCACCGGCAGCUCGAGCUAAAAAUAAAUUUGUUGCAUGCAUUUGUUCGUGCGUUGCACUUUCGGCGUGUUAGCGGUGCGCAAAGUGAUUGACAGAUAGGCGUGUUGACUCUGAAAAUUUAACGGUUGCCAUUUAAAUGUUUAAGUGUAUUAAUUGAAAUCAAGUGUAAUUGACUGUUAAAGUAUGUUUUCGGUGAUCAAAAAAGUUAAAUGUUUGUAAAUAAAGAUUAAUCAAUAAACUUUAUAAUAAAUUAAGCGCUUUUGCUUCAUUUGUGUAAUCUGCAAACGAAGCUUAAAGUGGACUGAUUAAAAAUAAAAAGCACGUGAAUCGAUCAAUGAAAAUCACUGCUGAUCUUGCGCUAUCACUAUACUACAAUUUCUAACUUUGAUUCUAGUGAAUAAAUAGUGAAUUCAGUUUCGAUUUACUUGACUGCUUUUGAAGUGAAUCGAAAACACCAGAAGUGCAUAAAAUUAUAGGCCAUUCCAAAUAUCGUCGUUCAGUGAGCGUGUCAAUUUGUAUGCCCAGCAAAGUCCGCUCUGGUAUCACCUUCUUGAUUUAAAGUGAAACGCAGCAAAAUGAGAGAUCGCUGCGCUCACCAGGAAUGCAGACAGCAAACAAAUUCGAUGGUAAAGUCUCUUCGGCAAAUCUUGAGUGAUAACUACAAAGAAAAAAGUAAAUAUAGCACCAUGAAGCAAACAGUUAAACCGUGGCGUAACGAUCAGUGAUCGCAGAACAAACAGGACACUUUAAAUAAAAAAAAUAAAUUGUAGUUUGAAGCUGGUUAAAAGUUUGGUUAUCUGAUUUCAAUAUAAUAUGGUAUAUGGUAUAACCGUAUGAACACUAAUAUCGGUUAGUUGUUUAAAUAGGUUGGCGACCACAAGGCGUCUUUAUAUGUUAAUUAGAAAAAUUAAUAUACAAGAUACUGGCAUGUAUUCGCUAAUUAGAAAAAUCUAGAAGGGUUGAAAUUUUGAAAAACUGGAGAUAUUAUUACAGUAAAAGUCAACAAGUAUUCGAGUAUUUUAUUAAAACGUGAUCAUGACUUUACAUAGACUGAUCUUGUUAGAUACUAAAAUAUUGGGAGAAGAUCACUUCUAUUAUUAAUUUUAAGUGAACUAUGAUGGGUUUUUAUUAAAGUAAAGUAACCAAUUUAAAUUUUUUUAUAUGCUAUGCAUUCAAAAUUUCAGAAGAUCACUUGAUAAUAAGUAGUUUAAUGAAGUGUUAGAAUAUUUGGUUUUUUGAGUGAAAACUUAUUAUAUUCUUGAGUUUUUAAGCACUUUUUACAUUUCAGUAAGUAAUUAUUUAGGUAGAACCAUCGCUAAACUCUCACUCGUUAUAUCUGAUCUUGUUGCGAGAUCGGAAAAUACAGAUUGCAAGGCUGAUCUCUCUAAUUUUAUUUCGUAUUUUAAACUGUAACCACUUCACUUUACCAACAAAAUUUACAAAUUAAACUUGAGUAUGAAAAUAGUUAAAAUGAUGGUAAAUGAUCAGUUAUCUUGUUGCUCACCGUUCAAGUGCUUGUUUAUUGUUUCAGUGCAAAUUACCUACUUAGUAAUAUAGUAUGUAGGUUACUAUGUUAGUCACGUAUACAAUAUCACUUCAUUGACUAAAGUGUAUUAGUGUGAGCUUCAAGAACAUAAAAGGAUCGUGUUAAACUCACUUGCAUUAUGUGCGUGUGGAAAAUUAGUGCAAACAACCCUUUUGUUAUACUUAGCAGACCUCUCUUUAAGUUGGAACCAUAUUACGGUUAUGGAUAAGUAUAUUAUAUAAUAUUUGACGCUGACAUACCAAACAAAUUUACUCAGCAAAUAUUGAGCACUUGAGGUAGUUUGAAGUAGUUAUCGAUGUGUGAGCCGGACUCGAGCAAAUAUUUGUAAAGGUGAAGCGAAAAUAAACCGAAAUAUAUAUAUGUAUAUACAUAGGUGAUAAUUAAAUAGCCAUUUUCGGUUGCUUAUGAAUUUUGCAUUUCUUUGAGAUUUUUUCUUCUUCUUCGUUUGUUUUUUUGUUUUUUUUUUUGUACCGAAAUUCGAUAUGGUUACCAAUAUUGCUCUUUCGUUAUUGGUUUUUGCCACAAUUUUCGGUUUUGUUUUGAUUUUUGGGUAUUUUUAGGCAUGUGACGCAUGUCGCAUGGAAUUCGAGAUUAUGCAACAUUGGUCAGCAACAAAAGAUCGGUUGGAGAAAAGCAAUUAAAUGAACAAAAACCGUUAAAUUUUUACUCAAUGCUUAUAAAAUGAGCGUCAAAUGAGCAAACGAAUAAAAAAACAACAAAUUAUACACGCAGGAAAUAAAUGGAUUGUUUUUGUGCAGCCUUUCUUGUAGCAAAUCUGCAGAAAAAAGUGCGAAAACAAUUGAUGAGUGGCACUUGAAAGUGUUACUUUCAACAAGCCACAAAAGCAACAACCAAUGAGUGGCGAUUAUGAAAAUCAUAGAAGAAACGCACACUAACGUGCAUACAUAUACACCCGCAAUAAAGCAAUUGAAAUGUCAUUGCACAAAGCCAAAACCUACAAGGCACUAUAAUAACAACAAAAACAAACAACCGUAAACAAAACAUAAAAAGAAACGACGAAGAAAAUAUUGAAGGAAAAAAAUUGAAUAAAAAUUUGAAAAAAAAAGUUGAAAAUAAAAACUGAGAAAAAACCGCCAAACGCUUAACAAAGCCAAGGUGACCAGACUAUGACCAAACGUCAGGUAAUUUAAAGGCGAGCAACUGUCUAAGCGGCAACCAAAGCAGGCAUGCCGCUAACGAGCGCUCACACACGUGAGUGUUGUUGUUGCAUUCCGGAUAUGAGUGCGGGUUUUUUGGGUUCAAGCAACAGCUGGCCACAAAAUGUGUGGAAGUGAGGCGUUGCUUUGUUUGUUGUUGUUGUUGACUUUUUGUUAUUUGCUUAACAGCCAAUCGACGGUCAUAAAAAUAUGAUUAAGCGCGCAUGCGUGCCACAUGCAACACACAAGCUACCUACAACAACAACAACAGCCACAUAUGGUGCUUAUAUGAAAAUGCAGGUCAUACACAGCCUAUAAAUGAAUAUGUGUAAUAGGAAAUUUUUUAUGAAAAACAAAUAGUGACAAAAAAAUACAACAAACACUGCGUAGUCAGUUUUUCUUCGCUGGCGGCAAAAAUGACAUAAAAGUCAUAAUCAUUGAUCAAAUAGCGGUUGCUUGGUGAUCAAGCGAUCGCGCAACUUUGAUGACAAAGAAAGGAUGGCAGGCAAGACAGUUAGACUUUAAAAACAAAUAAAUAUACAUACACAGAUGCAAGAGUUUUUAUAUAAAAAAGUCAAUAAAUAGAGCAUUACGAGAAAUUGUGUAAGCAUUGUGACAAUGCUUUAAAAAAAUAAGCAUUGUGUGGCAACUUUUUGUAAAAUCAAUUAUUGCUUUACGCUAUUUGUUUUGUUGCUUCAAGUGCUUGUACGCAUAUUGUGAAGAUUAUUAUGAAAAUUAAAUUUAACAAAUAGUUUUCAAUGCUAACAUUACUUGUAAGUUUUUAGUACCGAACUAAUCGGGAUUCCAAAAAAUUGACCGGAUCCCGAUAUUAAAAAAUAAAUUUAAUAGAUGGUGCUGUAGUGUUAAUAUUAAUUUUAAACUUUUUUAGUCCGGAAAAAAACGUGAUACCGAAAAUAAACGGGAUCCCGGAAAUUAAAUUUAAAUUUAAUAAAUAUAUUUCUAUGUGAACAAAAAUUUUUAAUUUUUUUAGUACCGAAGCAAUCGGGAUUCCGCAAAAUAACCCGGAUCCCGAUAUUAAAAAAUAAAUUUAAUAGAUGGUGCUGUAAUGUUAAUAUUAAUUUUAUAUAUUUUUAGUCCCGAAAAAAUCGGGAUACCGCAAAUAAACCGGAUCCCGAAAAUGAAAAUAUAUAUUAUAAAUGGUAUUUAAGUGGUGUCAUUAACUUUUUUGGUUCCGGAAAAAUCGGGAUAUCGACAAAAAACGGGAUCCCGACAGCUUAAAUUUUUAAUAUUGGUAAUACCGGCUACAUAUGGUAUACACAACCGUCGGGUAUUUCAUAAUUUCAAAUUAACAAUACUAAACUCCCGGUGUUGAUUAUAUUCAAGUCUUUCUAAACCUUUCUCGCUGCUUUCCUACCCUUUCUAAACGCACUUAAUAGCAGUGCAACAAAGUAAUUGCUGUAAAAUAGCAAAUCAUCUAAUAAGAUUAAUUUUGAGGAAGGUGGGAAUAAUGCAUUCGGGUAUAUCCCACAGGUAAAUCGGGAUUUUGAAGACAAAUUAAUUUCUCACCAAAAUUUGUUGUUUCUCAAGAAGAGUUUACAAGUUAUUUUGCCUUCUAUCGGUAACACUUACUUAUCCAGCAGAUAUUAACAUUUUGAAAGAAAUGAAUUUCGUAAAAAAAUCUAACUUGAUUCCGCUUUUUCACGAAAUUUUUUUUUUUUAAUUUUUUAAAACGAAAAGAGACUGUUUAAAAUCAUUUUCCAUUCUGGUGUGAUAUUUUUUCUAUCAACGCUCAAUCUUAAAAGCUAUAAAACGAAAUAAUAUUUUUCUUUUCAUUCAAUAACUACCGAGUUGACUAAUCAAAUUGAUUGUAAUUAGUUUGUCCUUUUAAGGAAUUCUCUCAGAAUUAUAAGCAUACUUGAUUUUUCGGUAACUUGACAGACCUUUUAGAUCAGAAGUGAUCGGAGGAUUCAGAACUCACCGAUAGAAAAAUAUAAAUGUAGUAAUGAUACUGAUAUGCUUCAGUUUCUUUAACAACUGUAUCAAUUGAGCCCAUAAGCUUAAGUUAUUGAAUUCCGGUUUCUUCAAUAAAUGUACUUUAUUCUACAUGAUAAGAUUUUAAUAUAGAUAAUAAUUUUGAACGAAAAUCUAGAACUUCUUUGAAAGCUUUUGUGAAAUACGCAUAGCUGAGAAUUUUCAAAACUUUCAAACGAAAAGAGGACUUAUUACAAAUUUAGAAGAAAUAAAAAGUAACUGUUUGAAUUAAUGAUUACUUAUAGUGGAUUUCCUGCCAAUGUGCCUUAAUGUAGGCACCACUAUGCUGCGAUGUAAAAAAAAUAAUUGCCUACGUUUAGGAUGAUGUUAAAUAGUAAUGGUUAAUCUUUAGUUCCAAUUUUUUUUAGCGAGCUGUGGAAUUGAAAAAUAAUUUGUUUUAUAAAACACCUACUUUCCAAAAACUUCUUUCUGUAUAAAUAUUAAAGAAACAUAACAAACUUAAUUUUUUUUAUAGUUUUGCGAUUUUGUUUUGAACAUUUUUUUUUGCUGCAAUUUCAACUCAUUUAAAUAUAUUUACCCGACAGAUUUAUCUAAUUUGCUUCGAAUACUUUUAUAUAAUCUCAGCCCAAACAUAAUUCUGUCGCCAUUUUAAUAUUACAUUUAACGGUAUUUAUUUUCGUACUUUUUUAUUAUAUUUCUUCUUUUGGUUUUUCACAUGCUUUCUGAAAUAUUUUUGCCAAAUCAUCAAAUCGCAUUAGCACCAUAAACCUUUGUAACUUUUAUGCUUCAAAUAUUAAAGCAAUCGCAGACGAUUUUGUAAUACAUCAUUGGCUAUAAUGAUCUUGGAAGGUCAGUCAACUGGUUAAAAAAAAAGUUAGAACAAAAAAUAAAAAAAUAGGUAUAAAAAAAAUAAAAAAUAAAUUAAGACAGUCAUCUUAGAUGGCUCAGUUGGCGGCUUUUGAAAGAAAUUGCUUCACCAUAACCUAAAAAAAUAUUGGAAUUUUCUUUGAUCUUGCAGUAAAACGGAAAUAGCAAAUAUGCCGCCAAUGAGCACGAGCUGCAUUUCCGCUUAACACUUGCGCUCAUUAAACAGAGGCUGCGCAAAUACGAGUAUAUGUAUAUAUAAUACACAAAUAGCAGUAUGUGUGGCAUAAUAAUUAUGUAUAAAUACAUAUUUAAUUUGUAGAGCGCGCAGAAGAGCACGAAAGAACAAAUAAAAGGUUUUUUAUUUAAAAUUACUUCCGCUUUUGGCGGCUAUUUUCUUAUAAAUCAAAAAACGGCAUCUUUUUUGGGUCGAAGUGUGGAUUUUACAGCGCCAAUUGCUUAUUAUUAAUUUUUUUAUUUAUUUUUUAUUUAAAACAUUUCUGUUUUUUUUUGAACUUUUUUGUAUUAAUUAUUAAAAUUGUAAAAUAAUUCAUAAAAAUUAUACAAAAUUUAGUCUUUAUUUUUUCGAUUUUCUUUGUAAAAAAUUUAAAAAUUGUCUACUGAAGUGCAGCACAAAUUAUUAAUACUUCAACAUUUUGACCCACAUAUCUGCAUAACUGUCACUAAGUGGCAGUGCCACACCGAAAUUUCAACAUGUUUUUUUUCGAUUUUUUACUUUUGCUUGCAUUUAAAUUUCUAUUAUUUUACGCUGCAAUUGCACGAAAAUUAAGUAUAUUUUUGCAUACACCCGCAUUCAACAUCACUUUGUGCGUCCCACUUUGACAGCUGUCAAUGCAUUUGAAACCGUUUAGAGUAUUUUUGUGCAAAAACGACAAAAAAUUCUGAAAGGUAAAUUGUAUGCGAAAUUUCAAUGGAAAAAUGAAUUGUAAAAACAUAUUAAAAACAAAAAUUAAAAUACAAAAACAAAAGAGUUUUAAAGAUUUAUAAAUUAAAAAAAAAUAUUAUAAGCGAAAUAAAAAAGUUUUAUUUUUAUAAAAGCUUAAAAGGAAUUAACAUAACAAAAAAUUUAUAGAAAUUUACACAUUCCAAAAAAAAAAAAUUUAAUCGCAUAAAAAAUUAAAAAAUAUUUAAAUAAAAACUUUAAGAGAAUAAACACCAUAAAAACUCGCAGAAAUGGGCGAAAAAUAUCUUCAACAACAGCAAUAACAAUAAAACACGCAACAAAAAGUUAUUACAACACCACACAGAAUCCAAUAAAAGUAUUGCGCAAUUUUGCAGAAAAACAAUAAAAAAAUACGUUAUGUAAAUCAGCAAAUAUUUAUGCACAAGUAUAUACAUUUCUACACUACCGAGUGCUGGAGUUACGGCAGCUGUCAUAAACUGUCUACAGCUGUCAUAAAUGGGAACACUCUAACGCCCAGGCAAGAACGCGCCCAUGUGAAAGGUAAAAACGGAAACAAAAGCAAGUGAGCAAAAGAAAAUAAGCAAAAAGGCAUAAUAAUAAAAACAAAAAAAGAACAAAGAAAACAAAAACAGCUAAUGGCCAGAAAAAUGCCUGUAGUGAAGUGGAAAAUACGCAAAAUUUGGUUGCAAAACAAUGAAAUAUGCGGUAAAAAGCUCAUAAAUGCUUUACAAACAAACAAAUAUAUAUGUGUUUGUGUGUGUGUGUAAAGGCCCGCCUAGCAUGUGGACUAUGCAAACAAGCAGCGCGCAGGAAGUCGCUUAAAGAGUGCGCUGAACUUUUGCUUUUUUGCGCGUUUUCAGUAAUUUGUAACAGAGUGGCAAAAAAUUACAAAGAAACUUAAUUUUUUUUUAUUAAAAGCAUUAAGAAAUUAACAAGAAAUAUAAAAGAUUUAAAAAUAUUUUUUACAAAAUACAAAUUUACAAAUUAGAACUAGACCAGCUCUAGGUUCUACUUGAGCCUAUUUUCUAUUAUAUAAAACUUUUUGCGUUGCUUCGUCUAUCUUUCUUAAGCCUUAUCUAUCUACUUUCCUUACUUCGUUAACAUUUUUUAUUGCUAUUGAAUUCAACUUCUUCUUCACUUUGCUUAAAGUUUGCAGCAUUUUGCACAAUGACCUUCGCGUCAACGUUUUUGCCACCGUAUUUUUCCACGCCGUAUUGGUUUGUAGAGCAAAAAGCGCAAAAAUAAGGCACUUAGGUUUUUUAGCGUUUGCUUUUUGUUAUGGCGGCAAAAUCAUGGGUAUUCACUACACAAAAAAGAAAAAAAAUUUAGUUGCAAAAACUUCUGUGAAAAAAAACUGUUGAAAAAAAAUAAUUACUCUAAGUAAAAAAAAAAUAAAUGCUCCCAUAGCAGUAAGCCUAAAAUCUAACUCCUAACAUGUAUGAAGUGAUACUAAAAAAAAUAAAUUGAGUUCGAAUCUCCUUGCUCCAUAAAGUGUUAACACUUAUAAACCAUUAAAAUUAAUUUUUAAGCCUUUACAUAAAUUUUAAUGAUGCCUUAAGAUCACUUUAUCUGAUCUCAGUUGACACAAAUAACAGUAAAAAAUAUCGUAUGUUGAAAAAAAAAAAAAUAGUUGUCAUAUUUCAUAAUAUUUUUUUAAAAUUAAAUUAAAUAAUAAUUAAGUGAGCAAUUUGCACCUGAGUAGUAAUGUGAGCUUCGACUCGGGCAUUGAUAAUUUGUUUAAUACUUUUUUAUUUUUUGUUUUAUGGCAACCCUGAUAUGUAUGUCUAUGGAUUGAUGUAAAUGUUUUUUUUUUGUAAGUAAUAACUCAUUGAGUGGUUAAUCGUCAAAUUUUAUGUCUAUUCCAACUUAAAAUCCUCCAUUCUAGAGAAGAAAAUCGAUUUUUUUUUAAAUUUCUUAAAGUUCCCUUGAAAUCCACAACUUUCACAGAUAAGUUCUCAGCGGUCGAGUUCUUGUAUCUUCUAGAUAUCAUAUAUCGAAAAUGGCUACUUUUGAGUUCACAAAACAUACAAUUUCAUCCGCCCAAAGAGAAACUACGGUGGGAAUUCUCAACUGGCUUAUAGACCAGGGUAGAUAAUUUUUGAAAGCAAAAAAAUCAUAGUAGGAUGAAACUCAUUGAAAAAGAAUAUUUCUACAAUGAAAGAAAAAUUAAGUUACGUGUGAUCUUUGAUCGGAAAGAGGAAAGGGAGGGCGUGGUAGAAUUUGUAUGGUUUAAAACAGUUUAAAAAAAAUCCAAAAAAAUUUUCGUUAUAAAAAUCUACAAUAUACUAAAUUUUACUCGCAUUUAAUCGAGUAAAGUAAUUCAAA